CAGCCGCCGCGGUAAUACCGGCGGCCCGAGUGGCGGUCACUUUUAUUGGGCUUAAAGCGUCCGUAGCCGGGUUGGGAAGUCCUCCGGGAAAUCUGGCCGCUUAACGGUCAGAAUGCCGGAGGAUACUCCCAGCCUAGGGAGCGGGAGAGGCCGAGGGUAUUCCCGGAGUAGGGGUGAAAUCCUAUAAUCCCGGGAGGACCACCUGUGGCGAAGGCGCUCGGCUGGAACGCGUCCGACGGUGAGGGACGAAGGCCAGGGGAGCAAACCGGAUUAGAUACCCGGGUAGUCCUGGCGGUAAACGAUGCGGACUUUGUGUCGGACAAGCUAUGAGCUUGUCCGGUGCCGGAGGGAAACCGUUAAGUCCGCCGCCUGGGGAGUACGGCCGCAAGGCUGAAACUUAAAGGAAUUGGCGGG
This 414-nucleotide ribosomal RNA is filed under the name uncultured microorganism. RNAcentral's name for it is "bacterial SSU rRNA". It matches the Rfam family "Archaeal small subunit ribosomal RNA", at positions 459 to 872 of the family's 1478-position model. The record is from RNAcentral.